Molecule: ribosomal RNA, 486 nt
Filed under: uncultured bacterium
Lineage: Bacteria
Description: bacterial SSU rRNA
Rfam family: Bacterial small subunit ribosomal RNA
Source: RNAcentral
GAUGAACGCUAGCGGAGGCUUAACACAUGCAAGUCGAGGGGCAGCAUAGGGUAGCAAUACUCUGAUGGCGACCGGCAAACGGGUGAGUAACGCGUAUGCAACCUACCCUGUACAGGGGGAUAACCCGGAGAAAUUCGGACUAAUAUCCCGUAAUAAUAUCCGGAGGCAUCUUUGGAUAUUUAAAGUUCCGACGGUACGGGAUGGGCAUGCGUAACAUUAACUGGUUGGUAAGGUAACGGCUUACCAAGGCUAUGAUGUUUAGGGGUCCUGAGAGGGUGGUCCCCCACACUGGUACUGAGACACGGACCAGACUCCUACGGGAGGCAGCAGUGAGGAAUAUUGGUCAAUGGGCGCAAGCCUGAACCAGCCGUCCCGCGUGCAGGAAGACGGCCCUAUGGGUUGUAAACUGCUUUUCCAGGGAGAGAAACUUACGCACGUGUUGCGUGACUGACGGUACCCUGGGAAUAAGCAUCGGCUAACUCCGUG